GCAGAUAUAGUUCAUCGGUAGAACGCCAGCUUCCCAAGCUGGACAGGCGGGUUCGACUCCCGUUAUCUGCUCCA
Molecule: transfer RNA, 74 nt
Filed under: Clostridiales bacterium
Lineage: Bacteria; Bacillati; Bacillota; Clostridia; Eubacteriales
Also listed under: 3 other names
Description: tRNA-Gly
Rfam family: tRNA
About the family: Transfer RNA (tRNA) molecules are approximately 80 nucleotides in length. Their secondary structure includes four short double-helical elements and three loops (D, anti-codon, and T loops). Further hydrogen bonds mediate the characteristic L-shaped molecular structure. tRNAs have two regions of fundamental functional importance: the anti-codon, which is responsible for specific mRNA codon recognition, and the 3' end, to which the tRNAs corresponding amino acid is attached (by aminoacyl-tRNA synthetases). tRNAs cope with the degeneracy of the genetic code in two manners: having more than one tRNA (with a specific anti-codon) for a particular amino acid; and 'wobble' base-pairing, i.e. permitting non-standard base-pairing at the 3rd anti-codon position.
Source: RNAcentral